RNAcentral lists this ribosomal RNA (716 nucleotides) under Halomonas ventosae. Its description in RNAcentral is "bacterial SSU rRNA". It matches the Rfam family "Bacterial small subunit ribosomal RNA", at positions 396 to 1104 of the family's 1533-position model. The record is from RNAcentral. Lineage: Bacteria; Pseudomonadati; Pseudomonadota; Gammaproteobacteria; Oceanospirillales; Halomonadaceae.
GCCGCGUGUGUGAAGAAGGCCUUCGGGUUGUAAAGCACUUUCAGUGAGGAAGAAAGCCUUGAGGUUAAUACCCUCGAGGGAGGACAUCACUCACAGAAGAAGCACCGGCUAACUCCGUGCCAGCAGCCGCGGUAAUACGGAGGGUGCGAGCGUUAAUCGGAAUUACUGGGCGUAAAGCGCGCGUAGGCGGCUUGAUAAGCCGGUUGUGAAAGCCCCGGGCUCAACCUGGGAACGGCAUCCGGAACUGUCAGGCUAGAGUGCAGGAGAGGAAGGUAGAAUUCCCGGUGUAGCGGUGAAAUGCGUAGAGAUCGGGAGGAAUACCAGUGGCGAAGGCGGCCUUCUGGACUGACACUGACGCUGAGGUGCGAAAGCGUGGGUAGCAAACAGGAUUAGAUACCCUGGUAGUCCACGCCGUAAACGAUGUCGACUAGCCGUUGGGCUCCUUGAGAGCUUUGUGGCGCAGUUAACGCGAUAAGUCGACCGCCUGGGGAGUACGGCCGCAAGGUUAAAACUCAAAUGAAUUGACGGGGGCCCGCACAAGCGGUGGAGCAUGUGGUUUAAUUCGAUGCAACGCGAAGAACCUUACCUACCCUUGACAUCGAGAGAACUUUCCAGAGAUGGAUUGGUGCCUUCGGGAGCUCUCAGACAGGUGCUGCAUGGCUGUCGUCAGCUCGUGUUGUGAAAUGUUGGGUUAAGUCCCGUAACGAGCGCAACCC